CAUAGGUUAAUGAGGCGAACCGGGGGAACUGAAACAUCUAAGUACCCCGAGGAAAAGAAAUCAACCGAGAUUCCCCCAGUAGCGGCGAGCGAACGGGGAGCAGCCCAGAGCCUGAAUCAGUGUGUGUGUUAGUGGAAGCGUCUGGAAAGGCGCGCGAUACAGGGUGACAGCCCCGUACACAAAAAUGCACAUGCUGUGAGCUCGAUGAGUAGGGCGGGACACGUGGUAUCCUGUCUGAAUAUGGGGGGACCAUCCUCCAAGGCUAAAUACUCCUGACUGACCGAUAGUGAACCAGUACCGUGAGGGAAAGGCGAAAAGAACCCCGGCGAGGGGAGUGAAAAAGAACCUGAAACCGUGUACGUACAAGCAGUGGGAGCACGCUUAGGCGUGUGACUGCGUACCUUUUGUAUAAUGGGUCAGCGACUUAUAUUCUGUAGCAAGGUUAACCGAAUAGGGGAGCCGAAGGGAAACCGAGUCUUAACUGGGCGUUAAGUUGCAGGGUAUAGACCCGAAACCCGGUGAUCUAGCCAUGGGCAGGUUGAAGGUUGGGUAACACUAACUGGAGGACCGAACCGACUAAUGUUGAAAAAUUAGCGGAUGACUUGUGGCUGGGGGUGAAAGGCCAAUCAAACCGGGAGAUAGCUGGUUCUCCCCGAAAGCUAUUUAGGUAGCGCCUCGUGAAUUCAUCUCCGGGGGUAGAGCACUGUUUCGGCAAGGGGGUCAUCCCGACUUACCAACCCGAUGCAAACUGCGAAUACCGGAGAAUGUUAUCACGGGAGACACACGGCGGGUGCUAACGUCCGUCGUGAAGAGGGAAACAACCCAGACCGCCAGCUAAGGUCCCAAAGUCAUGGUUAAGUGGGAAACGAUGUGGGAAGGCCCAGACAGCCAGGAUGUUGGCUUAGAAGCAGCCAUCAUUUAAAGAAAGCGUAAUAGCUCACUGGUCGAGUCGGCCUGCGCGGAAGAUGUAACGGGGCUAAACCAUGCACCGAAGCUGCGGCAGCGACGCUUAUGCGUUGUUGGGUAGGGGAGCGUUCUGUAAGCCUGUGAAGGUGUGCUGUGAGGCAUGCUGGAGGUAUCAGAAGUGCGAAUGCUGACAUAAGUAACGAUAAAGCGGGUGAAAAGCCCGCUCGCCGGAAGACCAAGGGUUCCUGUCCAACGUUAAUCGGGGCAGGGUGAGUCGACCCCUAAGGCGAGGCCGAAAGGCGUAGUCGAUGGGAAACAGGUUAAUAUUCCUGUACUUGGUGUUACUGCGAAGGGGGGACGGAGAAGGCUAUGUUGGCCGGGCGACGGUUGUCCCGGUUUAAGCGUGUAGGCUGGUUUUCCAGGCAAAUCCGGAAAAUCAAGGCUGAGGCGUGAUGACGAGGCACUACGGUGCUGAAGCAACAAAUGCCCUGCUUCCAGGAAAAGCCUCUAAGCAUCAGGUAACAUCAAAUCGUACCCCAAACCGACACAGGUGGUCAGGUAGAGAAUACCAAGGCGCUUGAGAGAACUCGGGUGAAGGAACUAGGCAAAAUGGUGCCGUAACUUCGGGAGAAGGCACGCUGAUAUGUAGGUGAAGCGACUUGCUCGUGGAGCUGAAAUCAGUCGAAGAUACCAGCUGGCUGCAACUGUUUAUUAAAAACACAGCACUGUGCAAACACGAAAGUGGACGUAUACGGUGUGACGCCUGCCCGGUGCCGGAAGGUUAAUUGAUGGGGUCAGCGCAAGCGAAGCUCUUGAUCGAAGCCCCGGUAAACGGCGGCCGUAACUAUAACGGUCCUAAGGUAGCGAAAUUCCUUGUCGGGUAAGUUCCGACCUGCACGAAUGGCGUAAUGAUGGCCAGGCUGUCUCCACCCGAGACUCAGUGAAAUUGAACUCGCUGUGAAGAUGCAGUGUACCCGCGGCAAGACGGAAAGACCCCGUGAACCUUUACUAUAGCUUGACACUGAACAUUGAGCCUUGAUG
This 1947-nucleotide ribosomal RNA is filed under the name Escherichia coli. RNAcentral's name for it is "partial 23S ribosomal RNA". It matches the Rfam family "Bacterial large subunit ribosomal RNA", at positions 165 to 2136 of the family's 2925-position model. Lineage: Bacteria; Pseudomonadati; Pseudomonadota; Gammaproteobacteria; Enterobacterales; Enterobacteriaceae. The record is from RNAcentral.